GACGAACGCUGGCGGCGUGCUUAACACAUGCAAGUCGAACGGAAAGGCCCUGCUUGCAGGGUACUCGCGUGGCGAACGGGCGAGUAACACGCGGGUGAUCUGCCCUGCACUUCGGGAUAAGUCUGGGAAACUGGGUCUAAUACCGGACAGGAGCCAUUUUUAGCGUGAUGGUUGGAAAGUUUGUUCGGUGUAGGAUGAGCUCGCGGCCUAUCAGCUUGUUGGUGGGGUAAUGGCCUACCAAGGCGGCGACGGGUAGCCGGCCUGAGAGGGUGGACGGCCACAUUGGGACUGAGAUGCGGCCCAGGCUCCUACGGGAGGGAGCAGUGGGGAAUAUUGCACAAUGGGCGCAAGCCUGAUGCAGCGAGGCCGCGGAGGGGAUGACUGCCUUCGGGGUGUAAACUCCUUUCGCAAGGGACGAAGCUUUUUGUGACGGUACCUAGAUAAGAAGCACCGGCUAACUACGUG
RNAcentral lists this ribosomal RNA (465 nucleotides) under uncultured bacterium. RNAcentral's name for it is "partial 16S ribosomal RNA". It matches the Rfam family "Bacterial small subunit ribosomal RNA", at positions 28 to 507 of the family's 1533-position model. The record is from RNAcentral.